This 433-nucleotide ribosomal RNA is filed under the name uncultured bacterium. RNAcentral describes it as "partial 16S ribosomal RNA". It matches the Rfam family "Bacterial small subunit ribosomal RNA", at positions 29 to 507 of the family's 1533-position model. The record is from RNAcentral.
AACGAACGCUGGCGGCAGGCCUAACACAUGCAAGUCGAGCGAGGACUUCGGUUCUAGCGGCGGACGGGUGAGUAACGCGUGGGAAUGUGCCCUUCUCUACGGAAUAGCCCUGGGAAACUGGGAGUAAUACCGUAUACGCCCUAUUGGGGAAAGAUUUAUCGGAGAAGGAUCAGCCCGCGUUGGAUUAGGUAGUUGGUUGGGUAAUGGCUUACCAAGCCGACGAUCCAUAGCUGGUUUGAGAGGAUGAUCAGCCACACUGGGACUGAGACACGGCCCAGACUCCUACGGGAGGCAGCAGUGGGGAAUCGUAGACAAUGGGGGCAACCCUGAUCUAGCCAUGACGCGUGAGUGAUGAAGGCAUUAGGGUUGUAAAGCGCUUUCAGCUGGGAAGAUAAUGACGGUACCAGCAGAAGAAGCCCCGGCUAACUCCGUG